Molecule: ribosomal RNA, 34 nt
Filed under: Peperomia urvilleana
Lineage: Eukaryota; Viridiplantae; Streptophyta; Magnoliopsida; Piperales; Piperaceae
Description: partial 18S ribosomal RNA
Source: RNAcentral
CCGUAGGUGAACCUGCGGAAGGAUCAUUGUCGAU